AGAGUUUGAUCCUGGCUCAGGACGAACGCUGGCGGCGUGCUUAACACACGCAAGUCGAACGGUAAGGCCCUUCGGGGUACACGAGUGGCGAACGGGUGAGUAACACGUGGGUAAUCUGCCCUGCACAUCGGGAUAAGCCUGGGAAACUGGGUCUAAUACCGAAUAGGACCACAGGACACAUGUCCUGUGGUGGAAAGCUUUUGCGGUGUGGGAUGGGCCCGCGGCCUAUCAGCUUGUUGGUGGGGUGAUGGCCUACCAAGGCGACGACGGGUAGCCGGCCUGAGAGGGUGUCCGGCCACACUGGGACUGAGAUACGGCCCAGACUCCUACGGGAGGCAGCAGUGGGGAAUAUUGCACAAUGGGCGAAAGCCUGAUGCAGCGACGCCGCGUGGGGGAUGACGGCCUUCGGGUUGUAAACCUCUUUCACCAUCGACGAAGGUCCGGGUUUUCUCGGGCUGACGGUAGGUGGAGAAGAAGCACCGGCCAACUACGUGCCAGCAGCCGCGGUAAUACGUAGGGUGCGAGCGUUGUCCGGAAUUACUGGGCGUAAAGAGCUCGUAGGUGGUUUGUCGCGUUGUUCGUGAAAUCUCACGGCUUAACUGUGAGCGUGCGGGCGAUACGGGCAGACUUGAGUACUGCAGGGGAGACUGGAAUUCCUGGUGUAGCGGUGAAAUGCGUAGA
This 681-nucleotide ribosomal RNA is filed under the name uncultured bacterium. RNAcentral's name for it is "bacterial SSU rRNA". It matches the Rfam family "Bacterial small subunit ribosomal RNA", at positions 8 to 694 of the family's 1533-position model. The record is from RNAcentral.